AACUGAUACUACCUGCGGGAACCUGCGGAAGGAUCAUUACCUGAAUACGGGCUUCGGCCCUCAUUCUACCCUUGUCUACUGCACCUUUUGUCGUUCCCUCGGCGGGCCUCCCGCCGACGGGUACCCAAGAAACCCUUUGCAAUAAGCAUGUAAAUCUGAUACCAAUUGAAUAAUCACAACUUUUAACAACGGAUCUCU
Molecule: unclassified non-coding RNA, 198 nt
Filed under: soil metagenome
Description: partial contains 5.8S ribosomal RNA, internal transcribed spacer 2, and large subunit ribosomal RNA
Source: RNAcentral